UACGGAGGAUCCGAGCGUUAUCCGGAAUUAUUGGGUUUAAAGGGUGCGUAGGCGGCCAUUUGAGUCAGCGGUGAAAUUUUGCAGCUUAACUGUAACAGUGCCGCUGAUACUGUUUGGCUAGGAUUUGGUUGUAGUGUGCGGAAUGUGUGGUGUAGCGGUGAAAUGCUUAGAUAUCACACAGAACACCGAUUGCGAAGGCAGCACACUAAGUCAUUAUUGACGCUGAGGCACGAAAGUGUGGGGAUCAAACAGGAUUA
Molecule: ribosomal RNA, 257 nt
Filed under: uncultured prokaryote
Description: partial 16S ribosomal RNA
Rfam family: Bacterial small subunit ribosomal RNA
Source: RNAcentral